UUGAGGAAAACGACCUUGAAGGGGUU
RNAcentral lists this non-coding RNA (26 nucleotides) under Rattus norvegicus (Norway rat). Lineage: Eukaryota; Metazoa; Chordata; Mammalia; Rodentia; Muridae. The record is from RNAcentral.